UUAAGCGACUAAGCGUACACGGUGGAUGCCCUGGCAGUCAGAGGCGAUGAAGGACGUGCUAAUCUGCGAUAAGCGUCGGUAAGGUGAUAUGAACCGUUAUAACCGGCGAUUUCCGAAUGGGGAAACCCAGUGUGNUCCAAGGCUAAAUACUCCUGACUGACCGAUAGUGAACCAGUACCGUGAGGGAAAGGCGAAAAGAACCCCGGCGAGGGGAGUGAAAAAGAACCUGAAACCGUGUACGUACAAGCAGUGGGAGCCUCUUUAUGGGGUGACUGCGUACCUUUUGUAUAAUGGGUCAGCGACUUAUAUUCUGUAGCAAGGUUAACCGAAUAGGGGAGCCGAAGGGAAACCGAGUCUUAACUGGGCGUUAAGUUGCAGGGUAUAGACCCGAAACCCGGUGAUCUAGCCAUGGGCAGGUUGAAGGUUGGGUAACACUAACUGGAGGACCGAACCGACUAAUGUUGAAAAAUUAGCGGAUGACUUGUGGCUGGGGGUGAAAGGCCAAUCAAACCGGGAGAUAGCUGGUUCUCCCCGAAAGCUAUUUAGGUAGCGCCUCGUGAAUUCAUCUCCGGGGGUAGAGCACUGUUUCGGCAAGGGGGUCAUCCCGACUUACCAACCCGAUGCAAACUGCGAAUACCGGAGAAUGUUAUCACGGGAGACACACGGCGGGUGCUAACGUCCGUCGUGAAGAGGGAAACAACCCAGACCGCCAGCUAAGGUCCCAAAGUCAUGGUUAAGUGGGAAACGAUGUGGGAAGGCCCAGACAGCCAGGAUGUUGGCUUAGAAGCAGCCAUCAUUUAAAGAAAGCGUAAUAGCUCACUGGUCGAGUCGGCCUGCGCGGAAGAUGUAACGGGGCUAAACCAUGCACCGAAGCUGCGGCAGCGACGCUUAUGCGUUGUUGGGUAGGGGAGCGUUCUGUAAGCCUGUGAAGGUGUGCUGUGAGGCAUGCUGGAGGUAUCAGAAGUGCGAAUGCUGACAUAAGUAACGAUAAAGCGGGUGAAAAGCCCGCUCGCCGGAAGACCAAGGGUUCCUGUCCAACGUUAAUCGGGGCAGGGUGAGUCGACCCCUAAGGCGAGGCCGAAAGGCGUAGUCGAUGGGAAACAGGUUAAUAUUCCUGUACUUGGUGUUACUGCGAAGGGGGGACGGAGAAGGCUAUGUUGGCCGGGCGACGGUUGUCCCGGUUUAAGCGUGUAGGCUGGUUUUCCAGGCAAAUCCGGAAAAUCAAGGCUGAGGCGUGAUGACGAGGCACUACGGUGCUGAAGCAACAAAUGCCCUGCUUCCAGGAAAAGCCUCUAAGCAUCAGGUAACAUCAAAUCGUACCCCAAACCGACACAGGUGGUCAGGUAGAGAAUACCAAGGCGCUUGAGAGAACUCGGGUGAAGGAACUAGGCAAAAUGGUGCCGUAACUUCGGGAGAAGGCACGCUGAUAUGUAGGUGAAGUCCCUCGCGGAUGGAGCUGAAAUCAGUCGAAGAUACCAGCUGGCUGCAACUGUUUAUUAAAAACACAGCACUGUGCAAACACGAAAGUGGACGUAUACGGUGUGACGCCUGCCCGGUGCCGGAAGGUUAAUUGAUGGGGUCAGCGCAAGCGAAGCUCUUGAUCGAAGCCCCGGUAAACGGCGGCCGUAACUAUAACGGUCCUAAGGUAGCGAAAUUCCUUGUCGGGUAAGUUCCGACCUGCACGAAUGGCGUAAUGAUGGCCAGGCUGUCUCCACCCGAGACUCAGUGAAAUUGAACUCGCUGUGAAGAUGCAGUGUACCCGCGGCAAGACGGAAAGAC
Molecule: ribosomal RNA, 1779 nt
Filed under: Escherichia coli
Lineage: Bacteria; Pseudomonadati; Pseudomonadota; Gammaproteobacteria; Enterobacterales; Enterobacteriaceae
Description: bacterial LSU rRNA
Rfam family: Bacterial large subunit ribosomal RNA
Source: RNAcentral